GUUACUGGAUUAAGUCAUAAAUGCCUGUGGUUUAAAAAAAUAAUGAAGUACAAAAGGAUAUAAAAAAUAUAAAAAUGAGUCUCUUUGCUCAGGCAACCACUGCUACAUGGUUUGUGUGUUUUCUUCCAAGGUUGUCUAUACAUAUAGCCCUCAUACCCCCCCCCCCCCCCCCGUAUGAGUAAUAGCUGACUCUGCGCCCUGUUACGUAUUUUUGCUUUAAUAGUACAUUUCACUGUUGUUUGACAUCUGUUCGUAGAGAGAUGCCUUAUUAUUUUAGGCUGCCUAUUUUGCUCCAGACUAUAGAUUUUCUACUCUGAAAUCCCUAAUGGUUGGGUGACUUUGAGACAUACUGUUUGCUCUGAAUCCUUGGCUUCCGGUACUGCCUUGACUGGGCCCUGCCUUUUGCCCGAGUGCUGCCUUAGCUGUGUUGGUUCUUCUAGGAUCAAUCUGUGUGACUUGGCAUCCUCAAAUUUCCUCCUUUCUAUUAACACUUUUAGCUUCCUUCCUUCCUGAUCUCUCUCCCCAAACUGAAGCAGAAUUUUAAGUAACAGCAACAACAACAAAAAGAUGUACUUGCAUGAGACGUUUAUUAAAAUUGAUUUAAUUGAGCUUAAUAGUCUUUUUUAGUCUCUCAGCCUUCUGCUAGAGGCAAAGGAGCUAUUGAAUAUCCUAAGGGUAGAAACAGAAAAAUGGAGAGAAAAGACAAUGAUAAUUAUUUAGUUUGGUAUUCAAAACUGGUCUUUAAUAUGAAGUUGAUACCUUUUUUUGAAUUCUUGUAAUAUAUAAUAUUGAAAAAAGAGGUAAUAUAUAAUAUCGUAGAAAAAAGAUUCUGCCUAUAGAAUACAGUACUGUGCAAGGAAGGGCAUCUUUUCUGAAUCUUAGGGAGGAGUAAAUUGUAGUGAAAAAUGAGAAUUAGCUUUUGUGAUAUUUGCUAUUGCCAUUAUCAUCUUAAGUUUAGGUUUGGUCAUUUAACUUCUUAGAAGAGUUUAUCUUGUUUUGUUUUUGUACUAUUUAAAGCAACAUUACUUGUAUUUAGUGUAAGCUGUGACUGGAUGGUGAUGCCUCCCUCAGUCCUGACUCUGCAAACAAAAACUUAGCUUGGAAGUAUGAUUUAUCAUAGAUACAUAAGAGAGUGCCAUGGAUUUUGUUUUUGUUUUUUGGUUGUUACAUGACAACUGUAGGAAAUUUAAAAUCAGACUAGAUAUUUUUUUGGAUGAAUAAGAAAGGUGUAGAUUUAUUUGUUUGAUUUGUUGUUCUUACAUUCUUCUUCAAAGCAUAUCAUCUGGGGCUGUGUUCCUAGGAGAGCAGUCAUUUAUAUUAGUUUGGAAAUUUCUUAAGGGCACAGAUCAGAUCCUUCACUUCUGUGUUUCCAGUGAAUAGCAUUGUGACCUGAUAUUUAAUAGGUGUUCAGUAAAUGUUUGUUAUACUAAACUAAAAGAUUCACCAAGUAGGCACUAGAAUAAUUUUAUUCUACUUAUGAAUUUACUGUAGUGUGUGGCAGUGUUCCAUAAUUAACCUAGUAAUUUUUUUUAACCAGCUGGUUUUAAGAUAAUAAUUAAAAUUUUCUUAAGUUUUCCCUGUUUUUUACCUUCAAGAACUUUUGUUAAGAGAAGAUCAGCUAGAAAUUUCCUUUGUAUACCGGCCUUGAGAAUCAGUUUUGACACAAAUUAUGGAUUUGCUUGCAGUGUUGAGAUGAUACUGUGUUUAAACAGUCAUGCUAAAAAUGAGCUCAUGUGUGAAUCAUCAAUAAAGCAAACAGUAUACCACUUAAAAAUAAUUAUUGCUACAAUUUAGGGACGCCUGGUGGCUCAGUUGGUUGAGUGUCCAGCUCUUGAUUUUGGCUCAGCUCAUGAUCUCACAGAUUGUGCCCUGCAUCAGGCUCUGCGCUGACAGUGCCCAGCCUGCUUGGGAUUCUCUCUGUCCCUCUCUCUAUCUGCUCCUCCUCCACGUGCGUGCAUAUGCACACAUGCUCUCUCUCACAAAAUAAAUACAUAAACAUUUAAAAAUCCAUUAUUGCCACAAUUUAAAAUGGUCAUUGACCAACAUAUUCAUAUAUUAAGAAAAAAAUGAAAGCUUAUCUUUCUAGCACAGAAGAGUUAUAAUUAAUAUCACAUCAUGUAAGGUGACUGCAGUCUACCCUACUGUAAAACUGAAUACUGAUUUCCUUUGAAAAAAUCUUGUAAACAUUUUUCUCAGAACAUACAGAAUAUUUGACAUUAAGGAAUAGCACAUGACUAAAUCCUUGAUGAGGUUUAAGUAAUUUUUAUGAGCACCUAUUAUGAGAAUCUGAAAUAUUCACUAAUUAGCUAAUUUCUAGGCAUCAGAAACUUACCCUUUGGAGGGCUGGUUUUUUGGAAAGAUACUGAUUAAUGAUCUAUGUAAGCAGUAAAUAGUGCAUCCUAAGAUAGUUUCAAAACCUGAGGCAAGAAAAAGUUAUUAAUAUCGGAAAAGGAAUAAUUAGGCGUAAGAUACCCUGGCUCUUUCUGAAUCAAGAGCUGUGGAAGAACUUUAUGUUGCUGUUUAGAUGACCAUGUCUGUUGUUGUCUCAGGUGGUAGAAAGUUUUAGCUAUUGACAGAGGCAGAGUUGAUUGGCUGUGCCUAAUUGUAAGUGAGCAAAGCAAUAAGAAAAUAGUAGCUGAUUAGACCAUUAAGACCGCAUGGGAAAAACAACAAACCCUUAAAUGGCAACUGCUAACUUAGGGAAAAACUUCUGUUGUCUGUAUUUAUGGAAUGGGUGACCUCUUAUUUUUCUCAUUUGUAAAAUGUAUAAGUUGAAUUAGAAACUCUUUGAGGUCUAGGGGCGCCUGGGUGGCUCAGUCAGUUGAGCGUCUGACUUUGGCUCAGGUCAUGACCUCACGUUCAUGGUGAAGUUCAAGCCCUGCAGGUUCUGUGCCUACAGCUCAGAGCCUGGAGCCUGCUUUGGAUUCCUUGUCUCCCUCUCUCUUUGCCCCUCCCCUGCUCAUGCUCUGUC
This is a long non-coding RNA of Neofelis nebulosa (Clouded leopard), 2971 nucleotides long. RefSeq lists it as uncharacterized. The record is from RefSeq and is a predicted model, not a curated record. The transcript has 2 exons. NCBI's taxonomy places the organism in Eukaryota, Metazoa, Chordata, Mammalia, Carnivora, Felidae.